Molecule: ribosomal RNA, 421 nt
Filed under: uncultured bacterium
Lineage: Bacteria
Description: bacterial SSU rRNA
Rfam family: Bacterial small subunit ribosomal RNA
Source: RNAcentral
GGAAUAUUGCGCAAUGGGGGAAACCCUGACGCAGCAACGCCGCGUGGAGGAUGAAGGCUUUCGGGUCGUAAACUCCUGUCAGGUGGGAAGAAAAGGCUUCGGUCAAUACCCGGAGCUGCUGACGGUACCACCAGAGGAAGCCCCGGCUAACUCCGUGCCGGCAGCCGCGGUAAUACGGAGGGGGCAAGCGUUAUUCGGAAUUAUUGGGCGUAAAGGGCGCGCAGGCGGCUUGGCAAGUCAAAGGUGAAAUCCCUCGGCCCAACCGAGGAACUGCCUUUGAAACUGCUUGGCUUGAGGCCGGGAGAGGAUAGUGGAAUUCCCAGUGUAGCGGUGAAAUGCGUAGAUAUUGGGAGGAACACCAGUGGCGAAGGCGACUGUCUGGACCGGUUCUGACGCUGAGGCGCGAAAGCGUGGGGAGCAA